Molecule: RNA transcript, 3293 nt
Organism: Photinus pyralis (common eastern firefly)
Lineage: Eukaryota; Metazoa; Arthropoda; Insecta; Coleoptera; Lampyridae
Exons: 2
Source: RefSeq, a predicted model, not a curated record
UUAUAUACACAGUAAGGCAGGUUUUCAGAUUUGCAAUUGGAUUGCGAAUGAUAUCAAAAUUAUUGACCAUAUUGAUUCCAAAUUAGUGGCCGAUGGAAUGAAAACUUUGAGAAAUGAAAACGAUAAGAAUAUCGAAAGAGUACUUGGCAUAUUUUGGAACCCAAUUAAUGAUACUUUCGAGUUCAAAACCAAAUUCCACAAAAUUGAAAAGGAUUUGUUGGAAAAUAUAAGAAGACCGACGAAAAGGGAGAUUUUGAAAAUUGUAAUGUCAGUUUUUGAUCCACUGGGAUUUAUUACAAAGACAAACAUAUUGAUUCAAGGUAAGAUGCUGAUACAGGAUGUUUGGAGGAGCCAGUUAGGUUGGGACGACGAAAUUACAGAUAACUUGGCGAAUAAAUGGAACAUAUGGAUUGAGGAAUUGAAGAAAAUGUAUAAUUUCAAGAUACCACGACAAUAUUUCACAUUCGAUAGGAGUUCAAGUCAUUUGCAGCUGCACAUAUUCUGCGAUGCUUCAGAAAGAUGCUAUGCUUCAGUAGCUUAUCUGAGAAUACAAUAUGGAAAUGAAGUACAGGUCAGUUUCGUAAAUGCCAAAGCAAGAGUGUCUCCUUUAAAACCUAUGUCAAUACCAAGGUUGGAACUUCAAGGGGCAUUAAUGGGUGCACGCUUAGGUAACUAUCUAAUGAAGAAUUUAAACUUGAAUAUUUCAUCCACGACAUAUUGGACUGAUUCAAAAACAGUUCUCCAUUGGAUUCGAUCGGAAGCUGGACGUUUUAAAGUAUUUGUAGCCCAAAGACUAGGUGAAAUUCAAGAAUUAACAUGUGUAACUGACUGGAAAUAUGUUAGAUCUUCAGACAACGUUGCGGACGAAGCGACGAAAUAUGUUAUCAACUCCUCAGUAUCAGCAGAUUCUAGGUGGAUAUGUGGGCCAAAGUUUCUACUAUUGAAUUCCCAGGAAUGGCCAAGAGAAAUCGAACAUGAUUUGAAAAUUGAUUCGGACAAUUUAGAAAUGAAAAGACUGGAGUAUACUUGCAUCAACUUUUCAGCACAAGAUUUGAUCCCUGAUAUUCCUAAUCCUGAAAGAUUUUCAAAAUGGACGAGACUUCUUAGAGCUACAGCCUACAUAAUCCGAGUAAGAAACAUACUACGAGCAAAAGUUUUCAUCCGGAACGAAAUUACCGUUGAAGAGUUGUAUGAAGCUGAAAUUAUUCUUUAUCGAAAGGUACAGAUGGAAUCUUUUCUAGAAGAAUACAAGAUGUUACAACAAGGUCAAAUAAUCAAGAAAACGAGUCGCCUCUUUUCAUUGUCUUGUACGUUCAGAGAAGAGGACAAGUUGAUGAGGCUAGAUGGACGAUUGAAUAAUUCUUCAUCUUUGAAUUUCGAUACGAAACAUCCGAUAAUAUUAGACCCGAAACAUAGAAUAACUAAACUGAUAAUUCAACAUUAUCAUGAAAAUGCAUAUCAUUUUGGACAAGAAAUAGUACUCAACAAAUUACGAUGUAAAUUUUGGAUUUUACGUAUGAGACAAGCAGUGAAAAAUGUUUUCCAUAAUUGUCAGCAAUGUAGCAAUAGGCGAGCCAAUCCCAUGAUACCAAUUAUGGGACAAUUACCGUCAUGCAGAAUAGAACCAACAAUCAGACCAUUCAUAAAAUGUGGAGUGGAUUAUUUUGGACCUUUUGAAGUUGCAGUGAAGAGAAGCAGAGAGAAAAGGUAUGGAGUUAUUUUCACUUGUUUAGUAACCAGGGCAGUUUACUUAGAAAUUGCUCAUGACCCCACGACUAAUGCUUUUAUAAAUGUACUCCGGCAAUUUGGUUGUAGACGUGGGUUUCCUCACGAAAUCCAUAGUGACAAUGGAUUGAACUUUAGAGGGGCUGAAAGGGAAAUUUCGCAACAUCUUGACAAUUUACAACAAAAUGAAAUAAUAGAAUUUUGUUCUUUGCGAGGAAUUAAAUGGCAUUUUAAUCCUCCACAUGCACCACAUAUGGGCGGCAUAUGGGAGCGGCAAAUUCAAAGCAUAAAGAAGAUAUUAAAGGAAAUUCUGAAUACUAGGUAUCCUCAAGAACAUAUACUCAGAACCUUCCUCAUAGAGUGCGAAAAUAUAUUGAAUUCCAGACCUCUGACACACGUUUCUUCCGAUUCUCAUGACUCUGAACCUCUAACACCAAAUCACUUCCUGAUCGGACCAGAUUUUGUAGCACAACCUUGGACUGUGACUACUGACAAUCGAGAUCUUAAUCUUAUGAACAGUUGGAGGUCAGCUCAGCGUUUGGCAGACUUCUUUUGGAAGCGAUGGCUUGAUGACUAUUUACCAACAAUUAUUAAACGGUCCAAAUGGUAUCAAGAACAGAAGAAUAUCAAAGUUGAUGACAUUGUUAUAAUUGUUGAUCCAAAUGGAACAAGAAAUGAUUGGCGAAAAGCAAGAGUAGUUAAAACGUAUCCUGCCAAAGAUGGUAGAAUUCGUAUAGUUGACGUCAAGGAUGGGAAUGGAAAGGUAUACCGAAGAGCGCUGUCCAAACUCAUUGUACUUGAUCUUCAGUAGUAAUUGUUGGAAGAGAGGCAAUUACUAGGGUGGAGAAAUGUUGUAUUUAUUUGUAUCAAGUUCACUGAAUUAUUAAAAAAUGUUGCCAUAGAAAUAAGGUUGUUAGAAAAAUUAUAAAAAACCGUCAUAAUAAAUUUAAUAAAAAAGCUCUUGUCAAAUUGUUCUUCGACCCGGACAAUAUAAUAUAUCACAUUAGGUAAGAGUCAAUAACAACAGCAUUUUGCUAUUUCAGGAAUUGAUUUGGAAACCUCUUCCUCUAAUUCUCUUUGGAAUUACUUCGCUAAUGUCGGGGGUGUUGUGCUUGAAAUUUCCCGAAACUAAAGAUGUCAAACUACCCGAUACAAUAGACGAAUCAAUAUCUAUUGGCACGAAGAAGGAGAUAACACGCUGUAAUACAUGAAAGUAUAAAAAUUAUAUGUUAUAUAAUUAUGUACAAUGACAAAUGGCAAAUAAACAGCAUCAAAACGCAUUUUAUAAGAAUUCCAUCCGGAACUUUGCCGUUGUGGAGAUCGAUGUGUCAGGUUUCAUUGGAAAAUCGGAGACCAUUCGUUAGAAAAUUCGAAGAGUUGCAUCGAUUUGCGACUAAAAUUAGCAAUGUUUUUUGUGUACUUGAAAAUGCACACACGGUGUAUGUGCACAACGUAUAGCCCUUGUUUCUUAUAGGUAAGAUUUUUUUAAAGAAGCCAUGUGAGGCCAUAGCAACUUUAGGAUACAUUUUUCUUAAACUUAAGACCUCACAGGCCACGCACUGACACCA